AGUGAACGCUGGCGGUAGGCCUAACACAUGCAAGUCGAACGGCAGCACAGGAGAGCUUGCUCUCUGGGUGGCGAGUGGCGGACGGGUGAGGAAUACAUCGGAAUCUACUCUGUCGUGGGGGAUAACGUAGGGAAACUUACGCUAAUACCGCAUACGACCUACGGGUGAAAGCAGGGGACCUUCGGGCCUUGCGUGAUUGAAUGAGCCGAUGUCGGAUUAGCUAGUUGGCGGGGUAAAGGCCCACCAAGGCGACGAUCCGUAGCUGGUCUGAGAGGAGUAUCAGCCACCCUGGAACUGAGACACGGGCCAGACUCCUACGGGAGGCAGCAGUGGGGAAUAUUGGACAAUGGGCGCAAGCCUGAUCCAGCCAUACCGCGUGGGUGAAGAAGGCCUUCGGGUUGUAAAGCCCUUUUGUUGGGAAAGAAAUCCAGCUGGCUAAUACCCGGUUGGGAUGACGGUACCCAAAGAAUAAGCACCGGCUAACUUCGUGCCAGCCGCCGCCGUAA
Molecule: ribosomal RNA, 506 nt
Filed under: uncultured bacterium
Lineage: Bacteria
Description: partial 16S ribosomal RNA
Rfam family: Bacterial small subunit ribosomal RNA
Source: RNAcentral